ACAUAGCUGUGCGUCAUGGACGCAUGGUACAUUCUGCUCCAUGGUAUGCUAAAUAGCCGCAGUACUCUGACUGUGCAAAGGUAGCAUAAUAAUUUGGCUUAUAAUUGAAGUCUGGUAUGAAAGAACUCAUGGGAGGUAACUGUCUCCAGGGUAUUAGUACUAAAUUAGUAAGUAAGUGAAAAUACUUACGAGAGAAAAUAGACGAGAAGACCCUAGAAGCUUGCUAUUUGUUUUGUUGGGGCGACAGAAUUGCAUUUAAACCAAUUUUAUAGAUGUGACGUAGAGCAGGAAAAUUAAGCUACUCUAGGGAUAACAGCAUAAUAAAAUUUGUUUGUGACCUCGAUGUUGGACUAGGUAGAAUAGUCCUUAGAAGGGACUAAAAAUGCUCUGUUCGAGCAGAUUAACCUACGUGAUCUGAGUUCAGACCGG
This 429-nucleotide ribosomal RNA is filed under the name Cepaea nemoralis (banded wood snail). Its description in RNAcentral is "partial 16S ribosomal RNA". It matches the Rfam family "Bacterial large subunit ribosomal RNA", at positions 1813 to 2619 of the family's 2925-position model. Lineage: Eukaryota; Metazoa; Mollusca; Gastropoda; Stylommatophora; Helicidae. The record is from RNAcentral.